GACGAACGUUGGCGGCGUGCUUAAUACAUGCAAGUCAACUGAAGCAGUGGUAGCAAUAUCGCUGUGGAGGUGGCGCACGGGUGAGUAACACGUAGGUAAUCUGCCUUCAGGUCUGGCAUAACUCCGGGAAACCGGGGCUAAUAGCAGAUGAUGCAGCGGCUCGACAUCGAGACAGUUGUUAAAGCUAUGGCGCCUGAAGAUGAGCCUGCGUCUGAUUAGCUAGUUGGCGGGGUAACGGCCCACCAAGGCAACGAUCAGUAGCUGGUCUGAGAGGAUGAUCAGCCACACUGGAACUGAGACACGGUCCAGACUCCUACGGGAGGCAGCAGUAAGGAAUAUUGCUCAAUGGGAGAAAUCCUGAAGCAGCAACGCAGCGUGAGGGACGAAGGGCUUUUGCUUGUAAACCUCUGUAGUGAGAGAAAAAAAUCCCAAUCUUUGGGACAUGAUGGUAUCUCAAAAGUAAGCCCCGGCUAACUACGUG
This 481-nucleotide ribosomal RNA is filed under the name uncultured bacterium. Its description in RNAcentral is "partial 16S ribosomal RNA". It matches the Rfam family "Bacterial small subunit ribosomal RNA", at positions 28 to 507 of the family's 1533-position model. The record is from RNAcentral.